This 405-nucleotide long non-coding RNA is filed under the name Homo sapiens (human). RNAcentral describes it as "HSALNT0236688". Lineage: Eukaryota; Metazoa; Chordata; Mammalia; Primates; Hominidae. The record is from RNAcentral.
GCCAGAGAUAGCCUGAUCCUGCCCUUCCAGUUCAGUUCUGAAAAACAGCAGGCUCUCCUGCGGCCUAGGCCAGGGCAGGCUACCAGCCACAUCUUCUAUGAGCCAGAUGCUUAUGAUGACCUGGACCAAGAAGACCCAGAUGACGACCUGGAUAUUUGACUGGCCAGAUUUGAUUAGAUUGUAAUUGGAGGGGGCGCGGGAAGACUUUGGGCCCAGAACCAUCUUUCUAUUGUUUGUGUUAGCCUUACCCUGUCCCUGCCCCACCUUGGUUCCCCUUGUCUAUGGAGCCCCGCCUUGUGAGCCAGGAAGCAGCGUCUCAUCAGGACAGAAGGUAGGAUGAAGACAUGGGGUAAUGUGAGAGAGUAGAACACCCCCGUACCUAAUAAAAAUCUUUAUUUUUUUAUU